UUGGGGGUAUUGCUGGUUUGCCUUCUUUUUCUGGGUGGAUGUGGCCCUCCUCUGGAUGAGGACCCAGAUGUGAGAGCUGAGGGUCCGGGAGGUGGGAAUGCAACCAAAGCACCCCAGAGGUAAGAGCUACCCACCUCCCCCCAAAAAACCCACCCUGCCUGGUGCCUGGGGUAAAAUCUGCCUUGUGCCCAGGGGCAAGAGCUUUUCUUCUUAGAGAAACCCCAGGGGCUGAGCUUGGCCUUGGCCCAAGGUGUCUGGUGGUGCUGCACAAGUCUCCUGGUACUCUAAGGUGGGGGCGACAACACUCUCAGUCCCCCCAGGAGCAACACCCCGGCUGCACGCAGCCUGCCGGGACCCCCCCAAAAGGCAGACGUCAGCGCGCUCUCCCCGCUCCCCGAGCAAGAGGGUGGCAGCUUCAAUUUAAAUAAUUGUUGCCAGGGUUUCAGCGGUGACUCAUUAGUCUCCGAGACAGGAUCCCUCGUUAGCAGGGGGCUAUCUGGGGAACACCCCCCCCCUCCCAGUGUUGCCAAGGCAUCUCCACGGUGGGACUUUCUGCACCUCCUUCUGCUGGUUCCUCUCGCCUUUUGUUUUCCAAAACAUUCGCCCCGGGUUGGCAGAGGCCCUCGGUGCUCUGCAGGCGCAGACAGGGUGUCUGUGCACCCCAAAAGGGCUCUGUUCUGCCAGGGUGGCCGGGCUCCCGCGUCUUUGCUCUUUGUUUUAGCAGGGGCCGUUUUGCUGGACCACCGACCACCCCGUGGGUCCGCCCGUACCGCUUCGUCACCGGGAUGUCACCUGCACCCUGAGGUCCCAGCACGGCACAUCAGUGCUGGGCUCCCCUCGGCCAGGCCCUGAAACGGUUGUCUUAGAGGAAUCUCCUCGCCGGUGUGAGAUCUCUGUUGGAUGAGGCCAUGGAAUUGCCUCUUCGGAGUUGUCCAGUCACCAAGAUGAUAUGUCCUCCACCAAAGUAGAUAUUGCCAUCCCCGAAAAACAUAUGGAAUGUGCAAGUCUCCUUUCAUCCCACCUUCCCUGAAGAUGGAGAGAUACCUGUGUAAGAAGAGCUUGUCCUCAAGCCAGAGUUUAUACGGUCGCCACUUGGAAGCAGAUCAUUAAAAGAGAGGAGAGGCUACUUCUUCAGCACUAAAGGUGACUCACAAGCAGCAUCACUCCGGGAAAGUUAAAAGUGAUAAUUCCAUAAGACUCAAGGAUUGUGUGGGACUCAAAGAGGGAUAAAACGGCCUUGCAGGGGGCUCUCCUUCCUCUCUCUCUUAGUGAUGAAUGAAACGGGAAAACCUGAUCAGUUCAGAGCGGCUGAAAAAUAAAACAUGGUCACGUCUUUAUCAACACCCAGGUAGGCUGGAAAUCGCUGCCCCGCGAUGCCGUGAAGGCUGAAAGCUGAACAGAGUUCGAGAGGAGGUUCAAUGUUUUUCUGGAUAACUAUAUGCAGAGUUGUAGGAAUUUAAACAGAAAAAUAGAAACCAAACAACGCAACAACAACCUGUGAAGGGGUCCGGAGAGCAUCUCAGGGUGGCUGCACCAGGACUCUGCUAACCCUCAGCUACCGAAGUCAGGGAGAAACUUCCUCCGGUGGAUUUGUCAUAAAAUAAAUUCUGCUGCCUCUGUCUUCUCAUUUCUGCUCUCAAGUGUCAGCGGUUCCCGACGCCUUCCGAGCCCCUGUGCGGGAGCUACCCCAGCCCCAGAGGAUCUGGGGAGUCACUGUAAGUGGCCCCAGUUUCAGAAGGGUCUUUCCAAAUGAAUCAGCGCCCCGAGCGACAUCUGGAAGGAAGACACUGAGUGUAACUUCAGGACAAACCUCCAGCUAGGUUUUUUUUGCUGUGGUGAAGUGCUGGCGUGUGCAGAAUCUACAUCACACGGUUGCCCAAAUCUGAGUUAAAAAUGCUGAUUAUUAAGUGAACGAGGAAGCUAAGGAGAAAAACUGCUGAUGUACUGAUGUCCAAUCUGUCCUGGGAGGUAGGAAAGCACAUGGGGAAACUGAGGCACAGAGCUCUAAUCCAGAUCCUCCAUGGCGUUUAGAUGCUUGGCUCUCUUUGAAACCAAUGGGAAGGAGGCAUCUGACCAUUUGUGUCCAAGUCACCUCUUCGAGGUCACACAGGACACUUGUAGAAAGGUGAUACAGAAAACUGAAUGCAAAUUUUCUGUGAUUCAUCCCAGAAUCAGCUAAAAGAUUCAGCCCUGAAUCUUUUAGCUGAAAGGUGGCCCAGCAUGAGGGAGAGCAGAAGACUUGGAUGAGCUGCUCCGUGUUCCAGUACGCUCCAACUCCAAGGAAAAUAGAAACUAUUUACGGGGAGCUGGACUCCAAACGCUGAUGUCUGCCAGUAGAACUCCUGGAGGAGAAGGUGGACCUACCACAUCCACUGAGCAGCCCCAGAAGCACGAAUUUCCAGUUACCUCCAUGGAGUGGAAAUUUGAAAUUUGCUUAACGGCUUUUAUGCAGGGUGGAGGAUUUGGGAAAACUCCAGGAAUCCUGACUCACCAAUGGUCCUUGCUACCCAGACACAGGUCACUGCCAGAAAAUGAGCUCCUUGGAAAGUCCUUCGCAAGAGGAGAGCAUCCAGGAAGGACCAUCUCUACAAAAGGCAAUAGAGCAUUAAGGCAGGAAUGAGAUCUGGAGAGGGAGGAAGCUGCAUUCAGUGAAGGUUUUCUCAGACCCCUCUGGUCCAACACGGUCUGGCUGUUGGUGUUGCAGCACAAGCACAGAUAACCCUCCCCUGGGACAACCACUUUUGGUGGUAUGGAGAUCCAGCUUGAAGGUCACCAAGCAGUCAGACCAACUGAUGCCAUCAAGACUGUGCCCCCAGCAUGGAAAAGAAAGAUUUUCCCCUCCCUCAGACCUCCUCACCGCUUGAUCAGAGGCUCAGGGCAAACACGUGGCAUGACCCCAGCCCUUGUUCCCAUCCUCCAACCUUUCCGGGGUCCGUGUGAAAGAAGCUAAAUGGGGACAUGAAGGUGGUAAUGGAGUGGAAGCAGAGCAAGGAAAGCUUCGCUGAUGGAUUAUUAGGCACUGUCAAAGUUUCAGCAGAGUGGAAAACUUGGAGGCUGGAAGGUCUGAGCUAUUCCGCACACAUCUGUUCUCAAGAGAUAGAAGAAGGUUCAUCACCAGUAUCUCCCAGAGCUUCAGAGCACAGUAGGACACCUGCUCAGAGCAGACCUUCUGAUUGCUUUCCUGGAGAAGCUAAAAUCAGGUCGCGUGUAGCUGCUAAUAAAACUUCCGCUGAGAAGCUGCUGGCCAUUCAUUACUUGGAGCUUCUGAAUGCUUGUCAGGUAUUGCCCGGGGCCCUAAGCACAGAGGUGAGAGGAGAAGAGAAAGAAGGGAACGCAGAAAUGGGGUGCAAAGAUGAGGAAGAAGAGGCGGACAAAGCCUUCUUAGAAGGCUCAGACCUUCAGCUGCCAAAGGUCGACAUCCCAUCUGCUGGGAAUCCAACUGUUUGCCUGGCAAAAACUGAGGUGCGGGAUCUGAUCAGGAAUUUCCUUGCCUGGAUGCUGCCAUCUCCCCCUCUGCCAUUGCCCAGGACCUUGGUGCCUUCUUUGGGUUGUCCCACGGAGGGUUUCUGGUGAGCUUCGGGAGCUGCGUUCUCCCGGAUUGCCUGCGAGAGGAGUGGAGCCCCCUGGGAAUUGUUUAGCAGCGAUUCACUGGGUCAGUGUAUUAGAACAGACUCAAGUCUAUCAGCCAGAUGGUGACUUCAGAAAAAAAUUGACACACCAUUUCAAACUGAUUUCACGCAAACCCUCCUGAGGGGAGCCAGUGGGAAUCCAGCAAUCAGAUCUGUUGUGAAUAAAUAUUACAAAAUUGUCAAUUACAAAAGGGAUGUUUAAAAUGUUUGACUGAUUUAGAAGUCUAUUCAUUCCUUGCCUUAUACUUUGAUGACGGAUCUUCCAAUAUCACUGACUGAUUGCUUCCCUUGGCCACAGAAAUCUCAGUUUUUAAUUUUUUUUUGUUGGAAGAAGUUAUGGUAGUGCCUUUCCAGGCUUUUAUGGUAAGCAGGCAUCUGAGAUAAAAGCUAAGCCAGGUACAAUUUGGAGCAUGAUGUCUUCUACAGAUACUGGCUUAAAAAUGAGCAUUGGACUUAAAAAGGUAAUCAGGUCUGAACACUUUCAAAGCUACGCGGGACCAAGAUCUCUCACGGGUAAAUUCAAUCGAUGUACAUGCAAAUGUCUGCCUUUGCAGAGAGGAGAAGUUGGAAUAUCUUCCCAAGCACCAGCUAUACGUGAUCAUCAAGUUAGGUAUUCAGCUGAAAAAGGUAUUUGCCUUGCAUUGCAACUCCCAGCGGAGGCAAUUUUUGCUGUCCUGCCACCCACGCGACCGCUGUCGAUCCGUCGCUUUCUCCGGCCUCGUUUCUUUGUCUUGAACUGCACGUCCUGACAGGAUGUUCCCAUCUCGGCAGGGCUCGCUGGGCCUUUCCCGUCCUUGGCCACCCUCUCCCUCCAUCGGACCAGAGCAACCCACGGUCGCCUUUGGGCCACCUCAUCCCCUUCCUGAACCGUUGCAGCUUCCUCGUCACAGACAUUCCUGUUUCCAAAGGAUCUUGAUUUUACCAGCGCUACUGGACCACUCUCUGCUUCCCUCCGAAGGAGACCAGAUCCCUGACGUCUUCCCCGAUCACUCCCCUUUUUUUUUUUAAUUUUUUUUUCUCCGUCUCUGAGGUGGCUUAAUUUAUUGUCCCAGGGCGGUGUCACCAGUUGUCUCUCUCUCUUUAGAUCUCCAUAUAGUAAACAAUAAAGCUCACCUCCGACGGAAAGCGUUGUUCCCACGUGGCUUUUAGCUGGUCUGUGCUGGUCAGUCUCACCAGUCCUUCGCUCCCAACAGAUGGAGAUAUGAUCACUGGAGAGGACAAUGAGGCAUAAAUCAAAGUUAUUCCGGAAACAGAAUUUCAGACGGUUUUCAAGGAUGAAAAUGAAACGUAUAAAGCUUUAUUAGUGCAGUAUUAUCUAAUUGU
Chroicocephalus ridibundus (black-headed gull) is the source of this 4952-nucleotide RNA transcript. RefSeq lists it as uncharacterized. The transcript has 10 exons. Lineage: Eukaryota; Metazoa; Chordata; Aves; Charadriiformes; Laridae. The record is from RefSeq and is a predicted model, not a curated record.